AACGUUAUUUGACGAAAAGUUAACGUUGUUGCUUUGAUACGCACUAAGAGACUUUAACAAAUUUAGUUUUAAGUCCUAUUGAUAAAAUUUGAGCAAAACCGAGGUUUAGUAAUAUAUACCAAAUUUCGAAGCUCUCCCGGCGAAGCCGUGUCGGGUUCUAACCUGACCAUGUUUGUCGGGCCGGCAAAAACUCGCCAGUUUAAACCGGUUGAGUUGUACAUACCGGGAUCCAAGCAGCCCGUGACUGCACGAGAUGAGUCAACGAAGCGUCUCUAUCGUGAGGAGCCCGAGAUGUGGAGGAUAUUCCGGCGUCUGUAUGAAGUACCUGAUCUAGGCGUCAUCAAACCGGAUACAGUCACGAUGCCAGACUGGCCAAGGUCGAGUGUCUAUACCGGACAAGGAUGGCAUGCGAUGUAUGUGUAACGAGAAACUGAUGCGGCUGAUAAGAGAUCAAGCCAUCAUCCGGCCUCCGAAAAUAUUCCGCGUUCCCAAUAGCCAGGCGAAAAACGUACACCCCAGCUGGACGAAACGAGCUUUCAAAAGUUUCUAUAGCAACCAGCAGCUUCAGUUUCCCAUAGCAACCGUGGUCGUGAGGUGGAAACAAUGUCAUCACUUACCAAACUAUGACAUCACAGGGUUACGGGACACGCUUAGCA
This is a long non-coding RNA of Dreissena polymorpha, 656 nucleotides long. RefSeq lists it as uncharacterized. The transcript is spliced from 4 exons. The record is from RefSeq and is a predicted model, not a curated record. Lineage: Eukaryota; Metazoa; Mollusca; Bivalvia; Myida; Dreissenidae.